This is a long non-coding RNA of Oryza sativa Japonica Group (Japanese rice), 487 nucleotides long. RefSeq lists it as uncharacterized. NCBI's taxonomy places the organism in Eukaryota, Viridiplantae, Streptophyta, Magnoliopsida, Poales, Poaceae. The record is from RefSeq and is a predicted model, not a curated record.
UGUCAACAUGAAACAUGUUACUUAACAUCUGCGAUAUAGCUGGCGCUUCAAUCUGCAAUGAAAGUUAAUGUUUUGCCUCCACGACCAGCGGCCCCAACAUGCCCCACUGUCUAUUUAGCCAUCAUCUAGAUCAAGUGUGUCCAAUUGCCAGCCAUGAUUCAUUGCUACAGAAAUCCAUCCAAACAUCAAGAUCUGGAACAAUGACUUUUGGAUGUAGUUCGUGUUAUUUUGGUCCUACCUAUCCAAUGGACUCCCAGAUAUUAUUCAAGAACUGGUACUUAUGAUGUUCGAAAAAAAUCGACCUAUGUGAAGGAGCAGACAUUACUUUUGUGUGUAUUCCAUAGAUUGGUUGUGGCUGUUUGAAUGUGUAUGUGUGCAACUAAAACAAAUAUCUGGUAUUAACAUUUGUACAGAUCAGUUUAUGCUUAGUACUUGCACUGAUUGUAUUACAUUGCUGAAUAUUUGAGUGCUUGUACCAAUUCUAUUA